CAUUAAAGAACUCUUCAGCAAGUGGUUUUACCUGCUGCCACAGGACCAACCUGGGUCACUUCUCAAAGUAAGGCAGAGCAAAUGGAUACCUGGCAUAGGAGCAGUACCAGGCCUAUCUGACGAUUGGGUAUUUUUCAAGAAGGUUGACACUCCAACAGUACAAUAAACUUUAUUGAUUAAUCGUG
Long non-coding RNA from Xenopus tropicalis (tropical clawed frog), 185 nucleotides. RefSeq lists it as uncharacterized. The record is from RefSeq and is a predicted model, not a curated record. Lineage: Eukaryota; Metazoa; Chordata; Amphibia; Anura; Pipidae. The transcript has 2 exons.